Molecule: ribosomal RNA, 480 nt
Filed under: uncultured bacterium
Lineage: Bacteria
Description: partial 16S ribosomal RNA
Rfam family: Bacterial small subunit ribosomal RNA
Source: RNAcentral
GACGAACGCUGGCGGCGUGCUUAACACAUGCAAGUCGAACGAUGAAGAAAAGAAUCGAAGCUUCGGCAGAAAUUCAUUUCGGAUUAGUGGCAGACGGGUGAGUAACGCGUGAGCAACCUACCUCUUACAAAGGGAUAGCCUCGGGAAACCGGGAUUAAUACCAUAUAACAUUGCGACGAAGCAUUUCGAUGCAAUCAAAGCUACGGCGGUAAGAGAUGGGCUCGCGUCCCAUUAACCGGAUGGUGAGGUAACGGCUCACCAUAGUGACGAUGGGUAACCGGCCUGAGAGGGUGAACGGUCACACUGGAACUGAGACACGGUCCAGACUCCUACGGGAGGCAGCAGUGGGGAAUAUUGCACAAUGGAGGGAACUCUGAUGCAGCGACGCCGCGUGAGUGAUGAAGGAAUUCGUUUCGUAAAACUCUGUUCUAUGGGAAGAAAAGGACUGUACCAUAGGAGAAAGCGCCGGCUAAAUACGUA